AGUUAUUUAUCGUGGCUAGUCUGCGCUUGACCGCGCGAGACGAUAGUGCUAGUAGCGUGUAGUGAGUCGGCAGGAACGGUAGGACGUAGCGAGUCGGCAUACGUCCGCGGUGUGCUCUGCCCACGAGUCUGGUCAGGAAUGUGGUGGACGAUAUGUACAUUAUUGUAGAAGUCUCCAACCACAGAAGAAGAGAUAGUGAGAGGUGCAGCGACAAGCAGUAGCAGAGCAUUACGUGGGUGGACCCUCGCUGAAAUUGCUGGAGAGGCCUGUCAUGCUUGCAAAGCUACAACUGGAGCAAGAUCUGGAGGUGUUCCAUACGUCACAAUAGCCACAACAGUCUGCAGCACAACAUGACACAGAGGUGUUCCACAGAACACAGCAGCUGCAGCAGUAGUUGUGUUUAGCAGUC
Molecule: long non-coding RNA, 409 nt
Organism: Schistocerca americana (American grasshopper)
Lineage: Eukaryota; Metazoa; Arthropoda; Insecta; Orthoptera; Acrididae
Exons: 3
Source: RefSeq, a predicted model, not a curated record